RNAcentral lists this transfer RNA (72 nucleotides) under Bos taurus (domestic cattle). It matches the Rfam family "tRNA". From Rfam's summary of the family: Transfer RNA (tRNA) molecules are approximately 80 nucleotides in length. Their secondary structure includes four short double-helical elements and three loops (D, anti-codon, and T loops). The record is from Rfam by way of RNAcentral. RNAcentral also lists the same sequence under 2 other names. Lineage: Eukaryota; Metazoa; Chordata; Mammalia; Artiodactyla; Bovidae.
UCCCUCAUAGCUCAGUCGGUAAAGAAUCUGCCUGCAGUGCAGGAAACCUGGGUUCGAUUCCUGGGUUGGGAA